Molecule: small nucleolar RNA, 138 nt
Filed under: Ornithorhynchus anatinus (platypus)
Lineage: Eukaryota; Metazoa; Chordata; Mammalia; Monotremata; Ornithorhynchidae
Source: RNAcentral
CCCCGCUCAGGGUCGCACCUGGAGCGUUUCCAAUACUCUACCAGUCUCGGCUAAGGGAGGGAGAGCCAAGCAGAGACAUAGCCAUUCCGUUCCUAGUUUGGCCAGUGGCUAGCGAGUGGAAGGCAAUCUGCUACAAGU